Molecule: ribosomal RNA, 774 nt
Filed under: uncultured Neocallimastigales
Lineage: Eukaryota; Fungi; Neocallimastigomycota; Neocallimastigomycetes; Neocallimastigales
Description: partial large subunit ribosomal RNA
Rfam family: Eukaryotic large subunit ribosomal RNA
Source: RNAcentral
AGAGAGAGACAUGCGCGCAUAUCAAUAAGCGGAGGAAAAGAAACUAACAAGGAUUCCCUUAGUAACGGCGAGUGAAGCGGGAAGAGCUCAAAUUUGAAAUCUUCAAGGUUUUACCUUGACGAAUUGUAGUUUAAAGAAGUGUUUUCUGCUGAAGUUUUGGUAAAAGUUCUUUGGAAUAGGACAUCAUAGAGGGUGAGAAUCCCGUAUUUGACCAUUAUUUUCAGCUUUGUGAUACACUUUCAAAGAGUCGGAUUGUUUGGGAAUGCAGUCCAAAAUGGGUGGCAAAUUUCAUCUAAAGCUAAAUAUUGGCGAGAGACCGAUAGCGAACAAGUACCGUGAGGGAAAGAUGAAAAGAACUUUGAAAAGAGAGUUAAACAGUACGCUGAAAUUGUCAAAAGGGAAGCGUUCGACACCAGUGUUGUUUUCUCGAAAAUCAAUUAAAAAUGGCUCGAUUUUGUAUUGCUGAGACCUUAAAAGCUCACUGUACAUUUUUCGUGUCUUUUUUAAUGCACUUUUCGUUUAACAAGUCAACAUCAGUUUCUUUUGUUGUAAAAGGGUCAUUGGAAGGUGGCUUUCUUUUCGGAGAAAGUGUUUAUAGCCUUUGGCCUCUGCAAUCGAAGAGACUGAGGCCUGCAGCGUAGACUCUUCGGGGUUAGAUACAUUUGUGCUAAGUUAUAGCUUUUUAUAGGCAACUUGUUGACUAUAAUUAGUCUUGUAGCUUACUCGCUUAUGCUAUUUUACCUACGCUUAGGAUGUUGAGUCGUAGAGCACGCA